AUGAAAAUCAGAAAUUCCUCUUGUGCCCCAGGCAAGCCUUUCAGAGAAGAACUUUGUAACCCCACAGAGGAAGAAAACAAGAGAAACAACAGACAGGUUACAGAAACUGAAGAAAAAGACAGUUCUAACUGCACGUUGUAUGUGCAUGAACUUAUGGAGAACACAUCAUGGCUUCCGGGGCAGCAAAUACUGACCCAACACUGCUCGGGAACAAGAGACAAGAAUAGAGCUAAUCUUGUAAGGAAUUUACUCUUUGUCCAGGAAAACUGGUAA
RNAcentral lists this long non-coding RNA (273 nucleotides) under Sus scrofa (pig). RNAcentral's name for it is "lncRNA (ENSSSCG00070008348.1)". The record is from RNAcentral. Lineage: Eukaryota; Metazoa; Chordata; Mammalia; Artiodactyla; Suidae.